Molecule: ribosomal RNA, 1399 nt
Filed under: Galdieria yellowstonensis
Lineage: Eukaryota; Rhodophyta; Bangiophyceae; Galdieriales; Galdieriaceae
Description: small subunit ribosomal RNA
Rfam family: Bacterial small subunit ribosomal RNA (bases 238-1396)
Source: RNAcentral
GUAUAGGAGAAACAAGAAGUAGAAGAGAAAUAAAAGAGACAGAAGAGGAGUUAUGAGAGAAAAGAUGGAAGUAAUAGAAGUGGUAAGUGGAGUAAUAAUGAAUCAUAUGAAAGAAGGAAUGGAGAAUAUAAGGAAGGAUUACAUGAAGGAGGAGAUAAUAGGAGAAAUGAUAAGGUGGAUAUAUAUAUCGAUAAUAAGUGUGAUAGUAAUAUAAAGGAGGAGAAAGAGAGGAAAGAGGUGUAUGAUGCAGGCAAAGAAGUGACGCAGUAGAUCAGAGAGUAACACAUGCAAGUAGGUAAAGCGAACGGGUGAGUAAAGAGGUGUGAAAGAGUGGAAGAACAUGAAAGCACAGAAGAAUGUAAGAAAUGGUUAGAGUAAAAACCAUAAAGGAAGUAAAAGCGGGAAUCUGAGAGGAGGAAAGCCACAUUGGAACUGAGAAAAGGUCCAAACAAGAGAAGUCAGCAGUGGGGAAAAUUGGGCAAUGUACAGGGAAGUAUGACCCAGUAAUGAGGAGUGGAGUAAACAGAAAAGGAAGUAAAAGGAGGGAAUGAAGGGAAGUUAUGGCAAAAACACGUGCCAGCAGCAGCGGUAAAACGUGUGUAGCAAGCGUAGAGCAGAAGAACUGGGUGUAAAGGUCGAGUAGUAGAGUAAGUGUAAAAGGGAAAGGAAAGGAGAGAAAGAGGAAAGGGAUGAAAUGCAGAGAUCUCUAGAGAAAGGCAAGAAAGAAAAGAAAGGAAGACACAGUAAAUGAGGCGAGAAAGCAUAGGAAGUGAAACGGAUUAGGAACCCGUGUAGUCUAUGCAGUAAAAGAAAGAAUGAGUAAGAAAAAAGGGAGUCAUUCCACCAGGGGAGUAAAGGCGCAAGAAAGAAACCCAAAGCAAUUGACGGGAAUCGGAAAAAGGGGUGGAUCACGUAAAUUAAUCCGAUGUAAACCGAGAACCUUACCUCUCCAAGAAGGUGUUGCACGGCUGUCGAAAGAACGUGCUGUGAAGUGAGAGAACGUACGAGAAAGCCAAGUGAGGAAAAGAAGGCAAGUAGAGGGCGGCCCGAGAAAGGAGAGGGCGUAAGACGUGAUACAGAGUAGGAAGAAAAGAGAAGAGAGCUAGAAAGGAGGUAAAAGAAGAGUAAAAGGACUAGAAGAGGUACGGAAUUCACGAGGAAGGAGCGUGAAGGAAGGAGGAAUCCCAAGUAAUCGAGGAAGAAAAAGCUUCGGUGAAAGCGUGAACGGAUUUUGUACACACUGCCCGUCAAGUUCUGGAAGUGUGCUAGGAAUAAGCAGGAGAAGUAGAAGAGAGUAGGAAAAGAAGAAAGGAAGUGAAGACGUAAGACGUGAAAAAAAAGCGUAUGACUGGGAUUAAGUCGUAACAAGGUAGGCGUAGGAGAACCUGUGGCUGUAAGA